This 125-nucleotide small RNA is filed under the name Stenotrophomonas koreensis. RNAcentral's name for it is "Xanthomonadaceae sRNA Xoo5". It matches the Rfam family "Xanthomonadaceae sRNA Xoo5". The record is from Rfam by way of RNAcentral. Lineage: Bacteria; Pseudomonadati; Pseudomonadota; Gammaproteobacteria; Lysobacterales; Lysobacteraceae.
CGAUGAAAGCGACCGACUUCCAGCACGCCAGCAGUACCGCCCGGAUGGCCUCCGGGAUGACCUCGCGUGCCCGCCGACCGGAACCCCACAUAGUUGCUGGGUAAACCGGAGUGUUGUGCUGUCUG